This 979-nucleotide long non-coding RNA is filed under the name Homo sapiens (human). Its description in RNAcentral is "non-protein coding lnc-ASAP1-2:2". The record is from RNAcentral. Lineage: Eukaryota; Metazoa; Chordata; Mammalia; Primates; Hominidae.
UUUCUCAGAGGUUUCCUCUCUCAGCUUGGAGCCCCCUCCCUCUGUCUCUACAGCUUACGACAGGUUUAUUGGGACAAUGCCAUCAUAAAUCAAGAAGCAUCUGUAAGUCCACUGAAAUAAAACGCAAACCAGCAACUCAGAGAGGUUCAUUGACUUGCCGAAGGCCACAAAGCUGUUAAGUGUUCAAACAGAUGGCGUCAAACCAGAUCUUUAGCCUCAGGGACCAGAGCUCUGCAGCCUGGAGGGGACCUUCUGCAGCAUCAUUGCACAGAAGACAUCAAUCAAUCAGUCUUUCAGUGGCCUUACAUUUUUCUCCACUUGCAGGUUAUGGGUCACCAUUUUACAAAUUCCUCCAGGACAGAAAGAAACUGUUUCUCCUGCCUGUUCUUUCCCAGCCCAGGCUGUCACCGGGGAUCCAAAUGUCAGGCUUUAUGCAAGUUCUCGAUGUUGGAACCUCUCAUGAAAAGUGGAGUGAACAAGAGGGAAAGUGGGCAAACCUCAGGCCUCACAGCUUUAAUGCCACCGAUGCAUUUGGUGAGGGACCUGAUCUCUCUGCUUCCAAGACAGAGUCUUGUUGCUGUCUUCCGGAGGGGAGGAACCCCGUGUCCUCACGUGGCAGAAGAGCAUAAGAGAGCAAACCCACUCCUUCAAACUCGCCUUUUAGAGAUGGGGUCUCACUCUGUCACCCAGGCUAGAGCGAGCAUAGUGGUAUGAUCCUAGCUCAUUGCAGCCUCAAACUCCUGGGCACAAGCCAUCCUCCUGCCUCAGCUUUCUGAGUAGCUGGGACUACAAGUAUGUGCCACAGUGCCCAGCUAAUUUUUUAAUUAUUUUUUGUAAAGACAGGGUCUUGCUUUGUUGCCCAGGCUGGUCUAGAACUCCUGGGCUCAAGCAAUCCUCCCCCCUCAGACUCUCAAACUGCUGGGAUUACACUGUGAGCUAACACUCCUGGCCUGCAAACACUUUUUAUAAUGAGUGUCAU